RNAcentral lists this ribosomal RNA (304 nucleotides) under Curtobacterium sp. BC1_NA1C1. RNAcentral's name for it is "bacterial SSU rRNA". It matches the Rfam family "Bacterial small subunit ribosomal RNA", at positions 1075 to 1377 of the family's 1533-position model. Lineage: Bacteria; Bacillati; Actinomycetota; Actinomycetes; Micrococcales; Microbacteriaceae. The record is from RNAcentral.
UUGGGUUAAGUCCCGCAACGAGCGCAACCCUCGUUCUAUGUUGCCAGCGCGUUAUGGCGGGGACUCAUAGGAGACUGCCGGGGUCAACUCGGAGGAAGGUGGGGAUGACGUCAAAUCAUCAUGCCCCUUAUGUCUUGGGCUUCACGCAUGCUACAAUGGCCGGUACAAAGGGCUGCGAUACCGUAAGGUGGAGCGAAUCCCAAAAAGCCGGUCUCAGUUCGGAUUGAGGUCUGCAACUCGACCUCAUGAAGUCGGAGUCGCUAGUAAUCGCAGAUCAGCAACGCUGCGGUGAAUACGUUCCCGG